CCUACGGGAGGCAGCAGUGGGGAAUAUUGCACAAUGGGGGAAACCCUGAUGCAGCGACGCCGCGUGGAGGAAGAAGGUCUUCGGAUUGUAAACUCCUGUCCCAGGGGACGAUAAUGACGGUACCCUGGGAGGAAGCACCGGCUAACUACGUGCCAGCAGCCGCGGUAAAACGUAGGGUGCAAGCGUUGUCCGGAAUUACUGGGUGUAAAGGGAGCGCAGGCGGAUUGGCAAGUUGGGAGUGAAAUCUAUGGGCUCAACCCAUAAAUUGCUUUCAAAACUGUCAGUCUUGAGUGGUGUAGAGGUAGGCGGAAUUCCCGGUGUAGCGGUGGAAUGCGUAGAUAUCGGGAGGAACACCAGUGGCGAAGGCGGCCUACUGGGCACUAACUGACGCUGAGGCUCGAAAGCAUGGGUAGCAAACAGGAUU
This is a ribosomal RNA of 424 nucleotides. It matches the Rfam family "Bacterial small subunit ribosomal RNA", at positions 338 to 779 of the family's 1533-position model.